GGCCUGUCGCGGCUGCUGAGCGCUCGGCGCCUGGCGCUGGCCAAGGCGUGGCCAGCAGUGUUGCAAACAGGAACCCGAGGUUUUCACUUCACUGUUGAUGGGAACAAGAGGGCAUCUGCUAAAGUUUCAGAUUCCAUUUCUGCUCAGUAUCCAGUAGUGGAUCAUGAAUUUGAUGCAGUGGUGGUAGGCGCUGGAGGGGCAGGCUUGCGAGCUGCAUUUGGCCUUUCUGAGGCAGGGUUUAAUACAGCAUGUGUUACCAAGCUGUUUCCUACCAGGUCACACACUGUUGCAGCGCAGGGAGGAAUCAAUGCUGCUCUGGGGAACAUGGAGGAGGACAACUGGAGGUGGCAUUUCUACGACACCGUGAAGGGCUCCGACUGGCUGGGGGACCAGGAUGCCAUCCACUACAUGACGGAGCAGGCCCCCGCCGCCGUGGUCGAGCUAGAAAAUUAUGGCAUGCCGUUUAGCAGAACUGAAGAUGGGAAGAUUUAUCAGCGUGCAUUUGGUGGACAGAGCCUCAAGUUUGGAAAGGGCGGGCAGGCCCAUCGGUGCUGCUGUGUGGCUGAUCGGACUGGCCACUCGCUAUUGCACACCUUAUAUGGAAGGUCUCUGCGAUAUGAUACCAGCUAUUUUGUGGAGUAUUUUGCCUUGGAUCUCCUGAUGGAGAACGGGGAGUGCCGUGGUGUCAUCGCACUGUGCAUAGAGGACGGGUCCAUCCAUCGCAUAAGAGCAAAGAACACUGUUGUUGCCACAGGAGGCUACGGGCGCACCUACUUCAGCUGCACGUCUGCCCACACCAGCACUGGCGACGGCACGGCCAUGAUCACCAGGGCAGGCCUUCCUUGCCAGGACCUCGAGUUUGUUCAGUUCCACCCCACAGGCAUAUAUGGUGCUGGUUGUCUCAUUACGGAAGGAUGUCGUGGAGAGGGAGGCAUUCUCAUUAACAGUCAAGGCGAAAGGUUUAUGGAGCGAUACGCCCCUGUCGCGAAGGACCUGGCGUCUAGAGAUGUGGUGUCUCGGUCGAUGACUCUGGAGAUCCGAGAAGGAAGAGGCUGUGGCCCUGAGAAAGAUCACGUCUACCUGCAGCUGCACCACCUACCUCCAGAGCAGCUGGCCACGCGCCUGCCUGGCAUUUCAGAGACAGCCAUGAUCUUCGCUGGCGUGGACGUCACGAAGGAGCCGAUCCCUGUCCUCCCCACCGUGCAUUAUAACAUGGGCGGCAUUCCCACCAACUACAAGGGGCAGGUGAUGGUGCUGGCUCCUCCCCCACAGCUGGAAAGAAGGCUGGGAUGACGGGGCCCACCUCGCAGUUGUCUCUUUAGAUCUUACAGGAAAAGACAGAUGUUUCCUUCAAGAAAGUACUGUAUUGUUUUCUAGAUUGCACUUUAAAUUUCUAUUACCGGAGGAUGGAGGGGGCUUAAUAAUUUAUU
Molecule: small RNA, 1430 nt
Filed under: Pan troglodytes (chimpanzee)
Lineage: Eukaryota; Metazoa; Chordata; Mammalia; Primates; Hominidae
Description: retained intron
Source: RNAcentral